Molecule: ribosomal RNA, 494 nt
Filed under: uncultured bacterium
Lineage: Bacteria
Description: partial 16S ribosomal RNA
Rfam family: Bacterial small subunit ribosomal RNA
Source: RNAcentral
GACGAACGCUGGCGGCGUGCUUAACACAUGCAAGUCGAACGGUGAAGCGCCUUCCUUUUUGGUGGGUGUUUAUGAGUGGCGAACGGGUUAGUAACUCGAUAGUAACCUGCCCCCUCCUUCUGGAUAACCGCAUGACAGAGUGACUACUACAGGAUAUUCUGGGCCUGUCGCAUGAUUGGUCUGGGAAGGAUAUUGUGUCGGUGAGGGAUGGGGUCGCGGCCUAUCAGCUUGUUGGUGGGGUAAUGGCCUACCAAGGCGGUGAGGAGUAGCCGGCCUGAGAGGGUCGACGGUAACACUAGGACUGAGACACCGCGCCGACUACUACAGGAGGCAGCAGUGGGGAAUAUGGCACAGGGGGAGGAAGGCUGAUGCAGCGACGCGGCGUUGGGGAUGGUCGUCGUCUGGUUGUGAUCCUCUUUCGCGAGAGAAGCAGGGCUGACUCGUUUGUGCGUGGGUUGACGGUAGCUAGACAAAAAGCGCCGGCUAACUACGUG